RNAcentral lists this ribosomal RNA (439 nucleotides) under uncultured bacterium. RNAcentral describes it as "partial 16S ribosomal RNA". It matches the Rfam family "Bacterial small subunit ribosomal RNA", at positions 339 to 795 of the family's 1533-position model. The record is from RNAcentral.
CUACGGGGUGCUGCAGUGAGGAAUAUUGCACAAUGGGGGGAACCCUGAUGCAGCAACGCCGCGUGGAGGAUGACGCAUUUCGGUGUGUAAACUCCUUUUAUAUGUCAAGAAAAUGACGGUAGCAUAUGAAUAAGCACCGGCUAACUCCGUGCCAGCAGCCGCGGUAAUACGGAGGGUGCAAGCGUUACUCGGAAUCACUGGGCGUAAAGGACGCGUAGGCGGGUUGGAAAGUCAGGUGUGAAAUCCUACAGCUUAACUGUAGAACUGCACUUGAAACUUCUAAUCUAGAGUAUGGGAGGGGGAGAUGGAAUUAGUGGUGUAGGGGUAAUAUCCGUAGAUAUCACUAGGAAUACCUAAAGCGAAGGCGAUCUGCUGGAACAUUACUGACGCUAAGGCGUGAAAGCGUGGGGAGCAAACAGGAUUAGAUACCCUCGUAGUC